Molecule: long non-coding RNA, 100 nt
Organism: Haliotis rubra (blacklip abalone)
Lineage: Eukaryota; Metazoa; Mollusca; Gastropoda; Lepetellida; Haliotidae
Exons: 2
Source: RefSeq, a predicted model, not a curated record
UAAGAUUAAAACUUGAAGGAGGUGACAUUCCCCAGAAAAGUUGUUCACCAUACCAUCCCAUGUUGGGUUGCCCACCAGUCCAGAUCAACAGUUUGUUGAG